Molecule: unclassified non-coding RNA, 187 nt
Filed under: Golovinomyces depressus
Lineage: Eukaryota; Fungi; Ascomycota; Leotiomycetes; Helotiales; Erysiphaceae
Also listed under: 1 other name
Description: sequence contains ITS1
Source: RNAcentral
CAGAGCGUGAGACUCUGCCCAGGCGUGCCCUGCGCGCAGAGUUGACCCUCCACCCGUGUGAACGUAUCUCUUGUUGCUUUGGCGGACCGGCUUUCGAGCCACCCGCGUCGCGUGGGAGCGCGUCCGCCGAAGACCCCCCUAACUCAUGUUGUUGUGUCGUCUGAGCAAACAAACUAUUGAAUUGUUA